GGAAAGGCUAAUCCACAAAAACGGAGAAACGUCCAUAAUUCCAUUAUUCAUAAUCAUGUCAAGGUUUUAGGUUUUUCUGCAGUUCCAUCUCUAAAAAGUGUGAUGUCUUCCCGUCACUGAUUUCAGUUUGAAAACUUUGUAUUUAUUCACAGAUUUCUGUGAGAUCAUCCUAAAAUUUGUAACGAAAAAUGGGCUCAAAAGAGCCCUCUGCCUAACGGCAUGUAGCCUAUAGCAUAACGUGAUAUUUUCAGUAGUGUAUGCAAAAAGGUCGGAAUUGAUGGAGAGUAGGGUUGCCUAAAUGGUUUAGGUUACAUUUUAAAUGUGUCGUUUUUUUGUUUAUACAUAUGGAUGGAUGGAGGGGGCAAGCUGGCAAAGUUUGUCAUGUGCAGUUUCUGACAGGCUACUUCACAACAAAACAAUUGCAGGUUGGUCUUAGAGGGCAAACAGAAUAAUUUCACUCGAUUCAUGGGUUACCUGACUGGUUGGGAAGGGAAAGAGCUGCCGUGUUGUCCGCCGUGGUUCCCAGUCGCUAUAGUUAGCCUACUAUGCCUACUCCAAGUAGUCCUAUGUCAUGCCGCUGCUACACGCCUCACAACAAAUGAACUGCAAGCGUGUUCACGUGACACGGUGACAGUGAAAAAGCGACAGGGUUCGGGUGUCUUUGAAGAAGGGGCACAAAUCAAGCCAUUAUUUUCACACCUUUUUAAAUCGCGCAGCUUUAAAAAAAUAAUAAUAAUCACGUCUUUCAAAAGGGCACUUUUUUGGACUGAAGGCAAAAGGGCAAGUGCUUCAGCACCACCUCGUCUCUAUCUGUGCAUGCCAGUGGCAGUGUGUCCCUCAGUCUGUCCUCACUCUGGACACUUUUUUGUUUUUGCAAGUGUUUUUGUUUUUGCAGGUGUUUUUCUUUGGCAGGUGUUUUUGUUUUUGCAGCAAUUUUCUUUUUGCAGGUUUUUUUCUUUUGCAGGUGUUUUUGUUUUUGCAGCAUUUUUCUUUUUGCAGGUGUUUUUGUUUUUGCAAGUGUUUUUCUUUUUGCAGGUGUUUUUCUUUUGCAGGUGUUUUUGUUUUUGCAGCAUUUUUCUUUUUGCAAGGGUUUUUGUUUUUGCAGGUGUUUUUCUUUUGCAGGUGUUUUUGUUUUUGCAGCAUUUUUGUUUUUGCAGGUGUUUUUCUUUUGCAGGUGUUUUUGUUUUUGCAGCAUUUUUGUUUUUGCAGGUGUUUUUCUUUUGCAGGUGUUUUUGUUUUUGCAGCAUUUUUCUUUUGCAGGGGUUUUUCUUUUUGCAAGUGUUUUUCUUUUGCAGGUGUUUUUCUUUUUGCAGGUGUUUUUCUUUUGCAGGUGUUGUUCUUUUUGCAGGUGUUUUUCUUUUGCAGGUGUUUUUGUUUUUGCAGCAUUUUUCUUUUUGCAAGUGUUUUCUGAAGUUGCAGUCCGUUUGGCCUCUCAGUGCCACCGUAACAGGUGGAAUCAGGACCACAUUAAGACCUAAUCACCUUCUCUCUCUGUCACACACACACACACACACACACACACACACACACACACACACACAUUUGCUGUAACACAAAAAGAGAGAGAGUAUUUAAAUGUAAAGUCUGAACAUUAGUCACUCUGUCUUCGGUGUGUGUUAGGAGGGUAAAAGUCCAGCUGGCUUAUUUUCCUACCUGGACUCCAUGGUAACGUUGUCAUAAAAGCACGUCAAUAAUUAAUAUGGACUUUUGCGUGUGCGUGCUUUCAAAGUUUUCCUCACACACACACUCUCUCUCUCUCUGUUAUUACAGUCUGUGUGUGUGUGUGUGUGUGUGUGUGUGUGUGUGUGUGUGUGUGUGUGUGUGUGUGUGUGUGUCUGUUCCUG
This is a long non-coding RNA of Astatotilapia calliptera (eastern happy), 1844 nucleotides long. Lineage: Eukaryota; Metazoa; Chordata; Actinopteri; Cichliformes; Cichlidae. The record is from Ensembl.